GCAAGUCGAACGGCAGCACGGGUGCUUGCACCUGGUGGCGAGUGGCGAACGGGUGAGUAACACAUCGGAACAUGUCCUGUAGUGGGGGAUAGCCCGGCGAAAGCCGGAUUAAUACCGCAUACGAUCUAUGGAUGAAAGCGGGGGACCUUCGGGCCUCGCGCUAUAGGGUUGGCCGAUGGCUGAUUAGCUAGUUGGUGGGGUAAAGGCCUACCAAGGCGACGAUCAGUAGCUGGUCUGAGAGGACGACCAGCCACACUGGGACUGAGACACGGCCCAGACUCCUACGGGAGGCAGCAGUGGGGAAUUUUGGACAAUGGGCGAAAGCCUGAUCCAGCAAUGCCGCGUGUGUGAAGAAGGCCUUCGGGUUGUAAAGCACUUUUGUCCGGAAAGAAAUCCUUGGUUCUAAUAUAGCCGGGGGAUGACGGUACCGGAAGAAUAAGCACCGGCUAACUACGUGCCAGCAGCCGCGGUAAUACGUAGGGUGCGAGCGUUAAUCGGAAUUACUGGGCGUAAAGCGUGCGCAGGCGGUUUGCUAAGACCGAUGUGAAAUCCCCGGGCUCAACCUGGGAACUGCAUUGGUGACUGGCAGGCUAGAGUAUGGCAGAGGGGGGUAGAAUUCCACGUGUAGCAGUGAAAUGCGUAGAGAUGUGGAGGAAUACCGAUGGCGAAGGCAGCC
Molecule: ribosomal RNA, 676 nt
Filed under: uncultured beta proteobacterium
Lineage: Bacteria; Pseudomonadati; Pseudomonadota; Betaproteobacteria
Description: bacterial SSU rRNA
Rfam family: Bacterial small subunit ribosomal RNA
Source: RNAcentral